This 617-nucleotide ribosomal RNA is filed under the name uncultured bacterium. RNAcentral describes it as "bacterial SSU rRNA". It matches the Rfam family "Bacterial small subunit ribosomal RNA", at positions 97 to 740 of the family's 1533-position model. The record is from RNAcentral.
GGCGGACGGGUGCGUAACGCGUAAGAACCUACCUUUUGGAGGGGGAUAACACUGGGAAACCGUUGCUAAUACCCCAUAUCGCUGAGGAGUGAAACAUGUAAUACAUGGCCAGGAGAGGGGCUUGCGUCUGAUUAGCUAGUUGGUGGGGGUAAAGGCCUCCCAAGGCCACGAUCAGUAGCUGGUCUGAGAGGAUGAUCAGCCACACUGGAACUGAGAACGGUCCAGACUCCUACGGGAGGCAGCAGUGAGGAAUUUUCCGCAAUGGACGAAAGUCUGACGGAGCAAUGCCGCGUGAAGGAUGAAGGUCUGUGGAUCGUAAACUUCUUUUCUCAGAGAGGAAAAAAAUGACGGUAUCUGAGGAAUAAGCUCCGGCUAACCCUGUGCCAGCAGCCGCGGUAAUACAGGGGGAGCAAGCGUUAUCCGGAAUGAUUGGGCGUAAAGCGUCUGUAGGUCGCUUAUGAAGUCUAUUGUUAAAUUCCGGGGCUCAACCUCGGGCAGGCAAUAGAGUACUCAUAUGCUAGAGUGUGGGAGAGGUAGAGGGAAUUCCUCAUGGAGCGGUGAAAUGCGUAGAGAUGAGGAGGAACACCGGAGGCGAAGGCGCUCUACUGGACCAAGAC